RNAcentral lists this ribosomal RNA (624 nucleotides) under uncultured fungus. RNAcentral's name for it is "eukaryotic LSU rRNA". It matches the Rfam family "Eukaryotic large subunit ribosomal RNA", at positions 24 to 664 of the family's 3401-position model. The record is from RNAcentral. Lineage: Eukaryota; Fungi.
CCCGCUGAACUUAAGCAUAUCAAUAAGCGCAGGAAAAGAAACCAACAGGGAUUGCCUCAGUAACGGCGAGUGAAGCGGCAACAGCUCAAAUUUGAAAUCUGGCCUCUCGGGGUCCGAGUUGUAAUUUGUAGAGGAUGUUUUGGGUACCGCCCCGGUUUAAAUUUCUUGGAACAGAAUGUCAAAGAGGGUGAGAAUCCCGUCUUGGACCGGCGGUAGGGCCUAUGUAAAACUCCUUCGACGAGUCGAGUUGUUUGGGAAUGCAGCUCAAAAUGGGUGGUAAAUUUCAUCUAAAGCUAAAUAUUGGCCAGAGACCGAUAGCGCACAAGUAGAGUGAUCGAAAGAUGAAAAGCACUUUGAAAAGAGAGUUAAACAGUAUGUGAAAUUGUUGAAAGGGAAGCGCUUGCAACCAGACUUGAGCGCGGCGGUUCCCCUAGCCUUUUGGCUAGGUUACUCCGCCGUGUCCAGGCCAACAUCGGUUCUGAGGGUCGGUCAAAGGCCUUGGGAAUGUAUCUACCUACGGGUAGACUUAUAGACCAGGGUGUCAUGCGGCCUCUCGGGACCGAGGAACGCGCUUCGGCUCGAUGUUGGCGCUAAUGGCUGUCAGCGACCCGUCUUGAAACACGG